UACGUAGGUGGCAAGCGUUGUCCGGAUUUAUUGGGCGUAAAGCGAGCGCAGGCGGUUUCUUAAGUCUGAUGUGAAAGCCCCCGGCUUAACCGGGGAGGGUCAUUGGAAACUGAGGAACUUGAGUGCAGAAGAGGAGAGUGGAAUUCCAUGUGUAGCGGUGAAAUGCGUAGAUAUAUGGAGGAACACCAGUGGCGAAGGCGACUCUCUGGUCUGUAACUGACGCUGAGGCUCGAAAGCGUGGGGAGCAAACAGGAUUAGAUACCCUGGUAGUCCACGCCGUAAACGAUGAGUGCUAAGUGUUGGAGGGUUUCCGCCCUUCAGUGCUGCAGCUAACGCAUUAAGCACUCCGCCUGGGGAGUACGGUCGCAAGACUGAA
Molecule: ribosomal RNA, 376 nt
Filed under: uncultured bacterium
Lineage: Bacteria
Description: bacterial SSU rRNA
Rfam family: Bacterial small subunit ribosomal RNA
Source: RNAcentral